Polistes dominula (European paper wasp) is the source of this 2748-nucleotide long non-coding RNA. Lineage: Eukaryota; Metazoa; Arthropoda; Insecta; Hymenoptera; Vespidae. The record is from RefSeq and is a predicted model, not a curated record.
AUAAAAAUUGUUUAAAAAAUCAAGGAUCAUUUAAUUAUGUUAUAAAUAAUAUUGUAAGUUGUUAAUUUUAUAUAGCAAAAUGGGGAAGUUUACAAACAUAAGUCGGUAUGCAUGUGUAACAGGUGUAAAGUAUACAUAUAUGUAUGUAAUACAAUAGCUAUAGAUUACAGAGAACGGUAGACGUUCUACGCACGAAGCAGAAGCCAACACGCGAGUAAAGUUUGAAAUUGUUUGUUGUAUUUAUGAUUUACAUAGAGAUAAGCGGAUAUCGGGUGAACGUUUCUAUCUAAGAAGGGGUUAACUUUUCAUAGAUAAUAAUUAUAAUAAUAUGUACAAUACACAUAUAUAUAUAUAUAUAUUAUAUAAUCGUUUGAAUUUUUUCUUUUAUUUUAUUUACGUAAUUUAUAUUUAGUUCGUUAUAGAUCACAUUAGGUUAAAUGUAAAUGUUUAAAACGUUUAUUGUUACUUUUAUCUUUGCGAUAAUACCAAUAAUUGUUUUUUCUUCUGAAAAAAAAAAAUACGUAAUAAUUUGUAAGUAAAGUAUUUGUACAAUGCAAAUGUGUGUAUGCACAUAAAACGGUAAACACAUGUCGCUGAAUUUAAACGCAUUCAGUUUUUUUUCUUAUUUCUUUAUUUCUUUUCUCUUUCAAAGGAAGUGGAAAAAACUGAGUAAUUAUUUAAAAGAAUAUGAUAAAAAAAAAAGCUUCUAAGAAAAUCAACGAGGUAGCUUAAAACUUCCUGAUGACUUCAGAAAUUCUUGUUUAAAAUAAUAUACUUUCCUUUAAAUCGUGCGAAUUUAAUUUUGAGUUUAGAUUCGUAGUAAUAUUCUAGAUUCAAAUGUAGCAUGUAAAUAUAGGUGUAUACAGAGACGUGUGUAUAAGUAAGCAAUAGAAACGCAAAACAUUUAGUACGUAGGACGAGUGGCCACUCGUUGAACUCUUUCAAUCGCUCACUUGUAAGUUCUUUCACAGUCUUGAAUCAUAAUGAUCGCGUUGACGGCAGGAAAAGCACUCGAACUCGACGCUUCUCUCACCAUUUCAAAGAUUGUUGUUAAGAAGAACCCUUGUCUAUAUCCCUACACCAUAUGUGAACAAGAUUGUUCACAGAAUCGAAAGGGGGGAAAGAGAUAAAACGACUCGUAGAAGUUUCACAGAACUUUUCUAUUCUUUUUUAAUUAUUAUUAGAUGAUUUUUAAAUGAAAAAUUUUGUUUGUAGAAAAUAUUGAUUUCAAGGAAAAAGGAAAUAUCACAUGCGUAACGUAUGAGAGAUGUAAGUUAUAGUUUGAAUAAUUUAGUGUUUAGGUAACGCAUUUGGAAGUAAAAGAAGAAGAAGAAGUUGAUGGCUAUGAUUUCUAGUCAGCUUUGUAAUGUACAAAGUAUAUAUGUCUACGUAUAGCCAUUGGUAGCGAUAAAAAAAAUGAGGACAAAGUAUAGUGGGAAUAGAUUCGCAGCGACAUAAAAUGCGGUCAGGUAAAAAUGUAUUCUAACAUCAACUUGAGUAUAAGUUGUCAAAGGAAAAGUUUUAUUGUUUCUAUUAUAUCGAUUUUAUAGUUCUAAGCAGUUAGUAAAAAUAUGCGACUAUGUGAAUUGCCUCGUUUUUGAAUUUUGAAUAUUGCGCCAUUUCGUUUAUUUUCAAAAUGGUUGCUUUCCUGAAUGAGAGUAGUCAAAACAGCUUUUAAAUUAAUAAUUGUGUUUGUUUUUUUUUUUAAUAUAGAAGUGAUGAGUGAUUUUGAAUUAGGAUUUCAUCAGCAUACUACGAUUAAAUGAUUGUUAAAUCUAAAUUAGUCACCCGUUAUGUUAGCACGAACAUCGUAAGUAACUUAUACAACUUACGACUGUAUCGAAGGAAUUAUAUACGCUCGUUCGUGAAACAAGUAGUUUGAGAAGGACAGUGAGAGGAAAACAAAAAAAAAACAUAAGAGAAAUAGAGAGAUAUAGAAAGAUAUUUAUGCGUAGUUAGGAAGUUGAUAUUAUAAUAAAUAUUUGUAUGCAAUGAAAUACACAAUCUAAAUCAUCAAAAUACGAAGCUUAGGCAUCAUACCAAAAUUGAUUAGUAUACGAAUAUCGAUUAAGCUUUAGAUCGAUUAUGUAUUUUAAUUAAUCGAGGAAAAUGUAUGAAAAUAUCGUGGGACAAAAUAAUCAAGCGUUUAGUGGAACCCUUGGGUAAAACGCUUGUCGUGCUGCACGACGAUGCACAUAUCUCAUUUUAUGAUCUCCUUAAACGAACCGCUUACAUUCUCAAGAUUGUAAUUCCUGCACACAAAUCUUUAUUUUCUCUCGCUUUUUUUCUCUUUCCUUUAAUCUUAUAAGUCAUUUAAUAGUUUGGAACGUGACCUAAGAAAAAUUCUAGAAAUUUUCCUCAAAUGCAUUUAAAAAAUAGUUUGAAAAUAUUUCAAAUAUUAUCUAUAAGUAAUAGCCAAUCAGCGUGAGACUAUGGUCACCGUGAUCGACCAAUAAAAAUUCAUAAAUGGCCUGAAAUUUGGACCAAUCAGAGGUAGUCGAGAAAAAAUCUCAUCAAAGGUUUAAGAGAGAAAACUGAAGAAAUAUGAAGAAAAAAAGUAAGAAAACAAGAUACCGAGCAAACGAAUUCGAAGGACGAGAAAGACGUUAGGGGAUUCUGGCGCGAAAUUCAAAAAUCUCGAAGAAAUAUUCUCACCGUGAGAAAAGAUAGAAGAAUAGAAGAAGGAUAAGAAGAUGGGCAGAGAUGGGCUUACUCACCAGACUGACCAAUCGCCAGGGAUGACGAGCU